Molecule: ribosomal RNA, 433 nt
Filed under: uncultured bacterium
Lineage: Bacteria
Description: partial 16S ribosomal RNA
Rfam family: Bacterial small subunit ribosomal RNA
Source: RNAcentral
AACGAACGCUGGCGGCAUGCCUAACACAUGCAAGUCGAACGAGACCUUCGGGUCUAGUGGCGCACGGGUGCGUAACGCGUGGUAACCUGCCCUUAGGUUCGGAAUAACUCCCCGAAAGGGGUGCUAAUACCGGAUAAUGUCUUCGGACCAAAGAUUUAUCGCCUUUGGAUGGGCCCGCGUUGGAUUAGCUAGUUGGUAGUGUAAAAGCCUACCAAGGCGACGAUCCAUAGCUGGUCUGAGAGGAUGAUCAGCCACACUGGGACUGAGACACGGCCCAGACUCCUACGGGAGGCAGCAGUGGGGAAUAUUGGACAAUGGGCGAAAGCCUGAUCCAGCAAUGCCGCGUGAGUGAUGAAGGCCUUAGGGUUGUAAAGCUCUUUUACCCGGGAUGAUAAUGACAGUACCGGGAGAAUAAGCUCCGGCUAACUCCGUG